Transfer RNA from Camelus ferus (Wild Bactrian camel), 73 nucleotides. It matches the Rfam family "tRNA". Rfam says of the family: Transfer RNA (tRNA) molecules are approximately 80 nucleotides in length. Their secondary structure includes four short double-helical elements and three loops (D, anti-codon, and T loops). The record is from Rfam. NCBI's taxonomy places the organism in Eukaryota, Metazoa, Chordata, Mammalia, Artiodactyla, Camelidae.
GAGGGUGUAGCUCAAGUGGUAGAGCGCAUGCUUGACAUGCACGAGGUCCCAGGUUCAAUCCCCAGUACCUCCU